AUUGAGUAUACAUGGUAAGAGAGAGGGAGACUUAAGAGCUUCUAAUUUAAUUACAUAAAUGGUAAGACACAGCUGCGAUUAACCCUUUAUCCGAAAGCCAAGCGCUAGGUACACCUUAUGAGUAAGCUACAAUAUCAAUCUUACUGGGAUCGAGUUGUUGUCCUUCUUAACACGUAAG
Long non-coding RNA from Hylaeus anthracinus, 178 nucleotides. RefSeq lists it as uncharacterized. The record is from RefSeq and is a predicted model, not a curated record. The transcript is spliced from 4 exons. Lineage: Eukaryota; Metazoa; Arthropoda; Insecta; Hymenoptera; Colletidae.